GAAGGGCAGAGCUUUUAAUCCAAACACGCUACAGGUUUUCUGAUGUUUAGGUGGGAAAUAACCUUGAUUGCUCUCUUCACACGAUCUAUUCUUAUUCACUAGCUUAGAUGAUUUAUCCCUUUAUGUUACCGGUAUAACUCUGUGAGCAGAAGAUAAUUUAAUUCAAUAGACCAGAUUGUCGCUCUGGGAUGUGAAGAUCAGAAAGAAGGAAAAUAAUACAGAGAUAAUGUUCAGAGAUGAAGAUAAUAGAGAGAAGAGAGAACAUAGAGAAAAUGUGAAGACUUCUGUAUUGAGUAAUGAUCAAAGAAGAAAAUCUUCUCUGUAAAACCCCUUGCUUCAUGUUUUCUCCUCGUAUACUAUUUAUACAAUAUGAAGAUAACAACAUUCAGUUGAACAAAGAACAACUAACUGACAACAAACUAACAGAAAACACUUUAACAGACAAUGAAUCAGUUACAACUUAAAACAGAGUAUCUAUUCUUCAAUGAGCACGUGUUGAUGAAGUUGCUUAUCCCAUCAUCUUUCUUCCACUUGUUUCUGUUCAUAUAAGUUUCUUCGACUAAACCGGCAGUGGUGUUCGAGUGCUGCCUUUCUUCAUUUUCUUUGAUUUCAUCAGAACUUAACUCUCCAAUAUCAGCAACAUGUACAGCAGCAUGUGUUCUUAACCUUUGUCCUUUAACAUCCCUCCUCAAAUUGGGAAGGGGUAAAGAACCCAUACCCAAUUUGAUUCGUAUAUCAAAAUGUGCAAGACGUGACAAAGGUUUUGUAAAAAUAUCUGCAAGCUGACAAUUGCUUGGAACGUAUCUCACAUGUAGUGAUCCUGAGGAAACUUUCUCGCGUACAAAUGGAAAUCAACUUCAAUAUUCUUAGUGCGAGCAUGUAAGAUAGGAUUGAUAGUGAGAGAAAUGGCAGACUGAUUGUCACAGAAUAAAAGAGUGGGAGAUAAGAGAGAGAGACCAAUGUCAUGAAGAACAAAGCUAACCCAAGUAAGAUCAGUAGUAGUAGAGGCAAGAGCACGAUAUUCAGCUUCUGUAGAAGAUCGACUAACUGUUGGUUGCUUCUUUGCUACCCAAGAGAUGAGGUUAGAACCAAGAUAUGUGCAGAAACUAGUUGUGGAUCUUCUAGUCUCAAUACAUCCGACCCAGUCAGCAUCUGAAAAACCAUAAAGAUUCAUGGAACUUCGAGAAUGAAGAAACACCCCAAGACGAACAGUUCCUUUAACAUAUCGCAGAACUCGCUUUAGCUUAUGAAAAUCUGCAACGGUGGGCUUCUGCAUUUUCUAACAUAGCAAAUUUGUAGCAUAUGCAAUGUCAGGACGAGUUAAUGUCAGAUAUUGGAGACCACCAACUAAGCUUCGAUAUUCAAGAGGAUUAGAUAGAAGGAUGGCAUCAGUGUUCAGAAUAGUUGGUCUCAGUGACAAGGGAGUAGAGAUUAGUUUACAGUCAGCCAUGUGAGCUUGAGUAAGAAGAUCAAGAGCAUAUUUGGUCUGACAGAGAAACAAAUUUUCAGAGGUAUUUUUAGCUUCAAUGCCAAGAAAGUAGUGAAGAUCACCAAGGUCUUUCAUGUGAAAUUGAAGACUGAGAGCGUGAAUUAAUUCAGAAAGUAACUGGUCUGAGCUACUAGUUAAGACAGUAUCAUCAACAUAGAGUAAUAGAAGGAUUGUUUCUGUACCAGAAUGAAGUAUAAACAAGGACGGAUUAGUCGUACUACAGAAAAAUCCAUAUUCAAGUAAGAAAUUACUGAAUUUAUCAAACCAAGCACGGGGGGCUUAUCGGAGUCCAUAGAGAGAUUUCUUGAGAAGACACAUGGUGAGGUGUCUGUGGUUGUAUGAAGCCAGGAGGCUGCUCCAUAUAGACUGUUUCAUGUAAAGUUCCAUGUAAAAAGGCAUUUUUAACAUCAAGUUGAUGAAUUGACCAUUGUUUCAUCAUUGCUACAGAAAGCACUAUUCGAAUUGUAGCAUGCUUGACAACGGGGCUGAAGGUUUCAUUAAAAUCAAUGCCUUCCUCUUGAUGAAAGCCCUUGGCCACUAGUCGAGCUUUCAAUCUAUCGAGACUUCCAUCAGGUGCAAGCUUUGCUUUAAAAACCCAUUUACAACCUAUCAUAUCCAUUUGAUUAGUUCUAGGAACUAAUACCCAAGUCUGAUUCUGAUACAGAGCAUCCAUUUCUUCUUCCAUAGCUUUAUGCCAACCUUUAUCUGCUAAGGCUGAUUUAACUAAUCUUGGUUCAGUAGGUACUUCAUAUGCAUCAAGACAUGCAUACCUGGGAUUUUUCUUUAUAAUGCCAGAUUUUGAUCGAGUCUGCAUGGGAUGAGCUGAGGUUAUACCUUGUGAGACAGAGUGAGAAGUGGAAUGAUCUGAUCCAAUACUGAUAUCAUUGGAUGUGGCAGCUUCAGUAGCAGAUACUUCUUGAUCUUGUGAGACAAAGUGAGAAGUGGAAUGAUCUAAUCCAAUACUGAUAUCAUUGGAUGUGGCAGCUUCAGUAGCAGAUACUUCUUGUGCCACAUUUUGCAGAUGUGAUGGACAGGCAGUACAUGGCAUUGUGACUGGUUGGAUAGAAUGGAAAUUAUCUAUAGUAAUGUUUCCAUUAUCCUGCAAAUGUCUUGCAUAAAUCUGUGAAGAUGUAGACACUGGUCCUUCACUUACUGAGUUCAGAAGUUUAACCUCUUCUGUCCAUAGUUGAUAGAGUGUUGUAAGUGGUGUAUAUUAUGCUAUACAGGUCUUAGUAAAAGGGAAGAAAUUUUCGUCGAAUAUGACAAGUCAACUAAUAUAUACACGACCAGUGGUAGGGAGAAGACAUCUAUAUCCCUUAUGGCGUUCACUGUAUCCAAUGAACACACAUGUGAGUAAUCGUGGAUCAAAUUUGUGCUGAGCAUAAGGUUUGAGACAGGGAUAACAUGCAUAGCCGAAGACUCUGAGAUAAUCAUAACUUGGUUCUUGCUGAUACAGCUUACUAUGGGGUGAUUGCAUUUGUAAUUUUGGUGUUGGCAGUAUAUUGAUAACAUGAUUAGUUGUCAUGAAUGCAUCUACCCAAUAUUUUAGAGGAAUUCUUGCAUGAUAGAGCAUAGCAAGACCCAGUUCAACAAUAUGACGAUGUUUCCUUUCUGGAAUGCCAUUCUGUUCUGGUGUGUAAGGACAAGAUAUAUUUUUUUUAAUGCCACAGCUCUGUAAAUGAGUCUGAAACUUAUGGCUGAUGAAUUCUCCUCCACCAUCACAUUGGAAAAUCUUGAUUUUGCAAUCAAAUUGAUUUUCUACUUAUUUUUGGAACAAGACAAAGAUGUUAUAGAAUUCUGAUUUCAGUUUCAUUAGAUAGAUCCAACUGAAUCGAGAGAAAUUGUCUACAAAAAUGACAUAAUACUUGAAGUGUUGAAAUGAACUGACAGGGGAAGGACCCCAUAUAUCACAAUGAACUUUUUCUAGAGGCAUUGAUGCUACAGACUCUGAUAAUGGGAAGGGCAAAGCAGUGUUUUUAGCAAUUUGACAACUUCUACACAUAAUCUGCACUCUGGUAUUGCAAUGAAUCAGUUGUUGAUUUUACAGGUACUUCAGUGUUUUCAGAUUGGUGUGUGCUAAACGUUGAUGCCAUAUAUCUUCUCCUACUGCCCUGUGUCUCUGAGUUAGGAAUGCUUCUAUGGUGUGAGGAUUUACUCAAUACAAUCCUUUAACUUUCCUCCCGAGCAACAGAGUUGUGUUGGUGUAAUUGUCCUUUACAUAUACACCAGUUUUAUCAAAAACAAAUGAACAUGGAUAGUCAUCUGUUAGUUUUGAUACUGAUAGAAGAUUCUUCUUUAUAUCAUGAACAAUUAAUACAUCAUUCAGAGGUAAUGAAUCCACUUCAGUGUGUAGCAAUGCAGUACCAGUAUAAGUAAUAGGCAGACAUGAUCCAUCACCAAUCAUAACAGUAUCAGUACCAUUGUAUUUAGAAUGAUUAUGAAGUAUACCAGGAUUUGCAGUGAUAUGAGUGGUCACACCAGUGUCUGGAUACCACUCAUUUCCUUUAGAGUUUUCGAGGUGUAUUGCUGCUAAUGCUGUUGGAAUUUCCUCAGCUUGAUAAGAGUUGUCAAAGCGAUACCAGCAGUGCUAUGCAUCAUGUCCUGGACGUUUACAGAUUUGACACUCAAAUCUAAUACUGUCAGUUGAUUUCUCAGCCUGCAGAUCUCUAGAAGGGUUUAGAUUUGGAGUGGGAUAAGAUCUAGUUUCUUGAUAUCUUUGCGAGGAACCAACAUAAGGACAAAAUCCCUGAUUAGGGACAGAGCCAGAGGUGUUGCUAAAUUGCUUAAAUCUCUAACCCUCUUGUGCAUAGUUGAAGUUAUUCAAUCUGUAGCUUAACUCUCUUCCAGGAUAUCUAUAACCAUGACCUCUAUUAUUGAGAAAUCGUCCUCUUCCAUAGUUGCGUCCUCCACGACUAUUAACCCUUAAACCUCCAAAACCAGAGUUCUACUGUAUAAUCUCUCUGUCAAGUUCUUCCUUUUGCUGGACCUCUGUUUUUCUUUGACCAUAAUAUGCGAGAGUAGGGUUGUAUUGACUUGAUGAGUAAUUUUGUAGUCUUACUUCAAACCUUUCUAGCUGAGAUAUUACUUCGUCAUAAUCUAGUUGAGGUUUCAAGCAGUAUAUUGUGGUUUUAAAGUUCUUAUACUCAGAUCCUAAUCCUUCUAGAACACCAAAUAGCUUUGUUAUCUCAUCUAUGGGCUUCCUUAUUGCAUUGAGUUGAUCGCAUAUUGAUUUAUACUCCCUGAGAUAUACUGACAGUGCUCGAUCUCGCUUUUGACAUGCUUGUAGCUUUCCUCUCAACUCAAACUCUCUAGCCACAGAUUUUUGCGUGAAUCUGUUGAGUAAGGUUUGCCAUACCUCAUAUGCAGUAUCCAAGCCAAUUAUCAGGCUCAGUAUGUUUUCUGAAACGGCUCCACUGAUCCAAGACAAGAUGAGUUGAUCUGUUUUGACCUAGUCAUUGUAAUUAGGAUUCGCAGCUUCUGUCACAUUUUCUUCGACUUCAACCUGUAACAGCAGUUCAGGUGAGGGGAUUUCACCAUUGAUGAAUCCAAACAGCUCUUGGCUGCGCAGAAACCUAUGGAAUUGUGCUUGCCAAAGAAGAAAAUUAUCUUCAGCAAGCUUGAUAGUAACAAAGUUAGAGAUGUUAACAUGUAUUGGAAAAAGGGUAUUUUGAUGUUCUUGUUGUCAUGUUGCACUUUCAACUCUGGAUCGUACACAGAGAGCAAUUCUAUGUUGUAUCUAUAUAGCAGACUCUUGAUCUCACUAUCAGCUUAAAUGACUCUUUAACCUGUUGUAUCUCUUCAACAUUUGAGAUUAUAUAAGCUCUCGAGAGGCAGUAGCUCCUUCUUCUUCAACUCUCCUCCUCUCACGGAAGCAGCAGCUCGCUCGCAGGCUCUGAUACCAUGUGAAGAUCAGAAAGAAGGAAAAGAAUACAGAGAUAAUGUUCAAAGAUGAAGAUAACAGAGAGAAGAGAGAACAUAGAGAAAAUGUGAAGACUUCUGUAUUAAGUAAUGAUCAAAGAAGAAAAUCUUCUCUGUAAAACCCCUUACUUCAUGUUUUCUCCUCGUAUACUAUUUAUACAAUAUGAAAAUAACAACAUUCAGUUGAACAAAGAACAACUAACUGACAACAAACUAACAGAAAACACUUUAACAGACAAUGAAUCAGUUACAACUUAAAACAGAGUAUCUAUUCUUCAAUGAGCACGUGUUGAUGAAGUUGCUUAUCCCAUCAUCUUUCUUCCACUUGUUUCUGUUCAUAUCAGUUUCUUCGACUAAACCAACAAUGGUGUUCGAGUGCUGCCUUUCUUCAUUUUCUUUGAUUUAUCAGAACUUAACUCUCCAAUAUCAGCAACAUGUACAGCAGCAUGUGUUCUUAACCUUUGUCCUCUAACAUGGGAUGCCUUUUGCCCAUCCUUAUCAUGGCCCCUUUUGUUAAAUAUGGAAACACCAAUCUUGCCUUCUUGACGUUGGCCUUCCACCAAGCGAACAUUACUAAAUGAUGCUGGAUUGGAAAAAGAAUAAUCGUUUCAACUAGCUUGAAUUCGUCUUUCGAACUAUGGUAGCUAUAGCUAGUCGUAAUGCUAUCAAACUUAUCCUUCCCUUGGCCCAAUUUUCCAGUGAAGAUAUUUUGUGCCCUUGACCACUAAGCCCACUCCGAGCCACUAAGCUGAGUGUACAUCUCGGCC
RNAcentral lists this long non-coding RNA (6174 nucleotides) under Eucalyptus grandis. RNAcentral describes it as "long non-coding RNA (EGRA_LNC006341)". The record is from RNAcentral. Lineage: Eukaryota; Viridiplantae; Streptophyta; Magnoliopsida; Myrtales; Myrtaceae.